GUUGUCGGAUUCACUUCAAUCCAUGUGUGUUGGUGUGGAUUGGGGUAGAAAUUAGUUUAAAUGCCACUCCAAUCCACCUCAACACAUGUGGAUUGAUGUGAAUCCGACU
MicroRNA precursor from Sorghum bicolor (sorghum), 109 nucleotides. It matches the Rfam family "MIR5565 microRNA precursor family". The record is from Rfam. Lineage: Eukaryota; Viridiplantae; Streptophyta; Magnoliopsida; Poales; Poaceae.